UAAUUUAAAGUAUUUGAAGAAUGUUUUAUUAUCUUCCAAUACAAUUUUUAGCGGCAUUAAAUGCUCAGGUAGAUGUGAGAAGGGAGGAAGAGUUCGGUACCAAAUUGCGUAGUCGUGCACGGUUAGCAUGCGCAUCAAGCUACCAAAAUAAGUAUCUAAGUUGUGGGAAACAAAACAGAUGUAGGCCUAUUCGGUUGUUUAAUACAAGUGAUCAACCUAAUGUGAGAUUGAAGAAAUGCUGUGCGUAGAAUUACAGAUUAUCGUUGCGAUUUAUUGCACUAGAUAUUCAACGUUGGAUAUUACUAUAAAACUCAGUAUUAUCAAAAGGAGUUUUUAAUAAAAAGACAAAAGAAUAUUAACUGAAGCUAAGAUAAUUAAUUCCUACGGUAGUAUUGCCUACCUGUUUAUUUCUACUGUCCUUUAAAAUAAAUUAUGUAUUUCCUACACCAAUCCUGAGAGUAAAUUUUAUGCAUAUUGUGAAAGCCUAGCAGAUACUUUAGGGAAUGACUCAAUCACGAAGGAUGGUGAAGCCCGAUUUGAGUAUGUGACAAGAUGCGAAACUAUAUACUGAAUUGAAGUAUCAACAGAUGGUAAAAUUUCUGACCAAGGUUUGGGUGGAUAUUCAUGAAAUAUAAAUUUAUUCCAAUCUGGGAAAGUCGAAAGUUCCUUAAAAACAGUUAGCAAAAUCUGCAUGAAACCCUAUUAUUUAAAAAAAAAGUCUAAAAUGUUUUGUUUUUGUUCAAAGGCUCAGAUAUAAUGUUAAAGAUUUGAAACUUACAGGCCACAUGCUUGGAUUUGGAGUACCCAAAGUUUGAAUAAUACUGCUUGUUAACCUUAAUUCACUAGGCCAUCCUUCAGAAGAUCCAUCGUCAAACAAAGCUUGAUUGGAAAAUAGUUCAGCGAUCAGAAUGCCAAAUGUCCAACGAUCGACUUCAUGACCAUAAGAAUGACAGCCGAACAAGGUUUCAAUUGCUCUAUAAUGACCAGUUCCAAUCUAAAAAAAACGUUAGAAAUCUUGCAGGUUCGGCAAAAUAUAAAACUCUCUUUAACAUACUUGGGGAAUGAGUUCCUGCACUUCUUCUCCUGGAUGCUGUUUGGACCAAGCAAUACUGAAAUCAGAUAGAUAAGCGGGGCCAUUCAUUGAAUCCAAUAGUAUAUUAUUUGGAUGAAUAUCACGAUGCAGAAUCCCAUGCUUUUCUAGGUAUUCAAGGGCGCUACUUAUUUGCAAUACGAUCUUGCAUUUUGUAUCAAUUGAAAUUUCAUCCAUCACAUCUGAUAGAACAAACGAUUUAAAACUCGUUAUAAGGUAAACGGAUCCUGCUUCAUUGUCUAUGAAAGAGUCCACUAUCCUUUCAAUGUGUGGAUGGCCUAUUGACUCUAAAAUAAGCUUGCCUCUCAUGGCAUCGUGAGGUGGCCUUUUAAAUACUAAACCUUGAACUUUAAUAACAUAUAGUUUUUUGCUAUUCUUUCUUUCACCCACGAACACUUCACUAAUAGUGCCAUCCGUCAGGUGCCUUAUAUCAGUGAGCCACGGAACGAAAUGACCGACUGAUUUCAUUAAAUUUAUAAAUUCAAUCGUUCCUGAUUGAUUUCACUUGAAAUUUUAAGCCUAUCUAACAAAAUAAAAAACAGCUAAAACGUUGUAAUAUAAAACUUUGAAAAUUACUUAUCGCAAGGUGUUUUACGCAAUAUGUUUUUCUUUUUAUGCAAUGUGUUUGGAGGUGAGGCUUACUCUUUUUACAAACUUUAAUGAGAGCAGACAUAUAGAUAUGUACUGGCGGUGAAGGAUGGCCACCAGAUGAAAGCCUAACUGUGAUCUCGCAUGAUGAUGCUAAAAAGAUAUUGGAUAAUGCUUUUAAAAAAAUAUAAAUAGAUACCAUUCUUAUAUGUACUUUAUACAUUUGUAGUACACUUAUAAAGUCAGAGUAUGAAUUUUUGUAGUAAGGAAGAAUACUAAGAAUUCUUUUUUUAUUUUUAUUUUUUUUUCGCUUUGUUUGCUUGAAUGAAAAAAAUAUCUUUGUGAUAAUAAGUGUUUUAAUUGUUUUAGAGAUCAUAUAUGUGUCAAAUGCGUCUACAUUACCUUACUCGAAUUGUCAAAAAUGGUGAGAUGUAUAGGUUUAAUCUUUUACUACUUUAUCUGUUUCCAAAA
RNAcentral lists this long non-coding RNA (2149 nucleotides) under Schizosaccharomyces pombe (fission yeast). Lineage: Eukaryota; Fungi; Ascomycota; Schizosaccharomycetes; Schizosaccharomycetales; Schizosaccharomycetaceae. The record is from RNAcentral.